Molecule: ribosomal RNA, 669 nt
Filed under: Pseudomonas sp. EECC-487
Lineage: Bacteria; Pseudomonadati; Pseudomonadota; Gammaproteobacteria; Pseudomonadales; Pseudomonadaceae
Description: bacterial SSU rRNA
Rfam family: Bacterial small subunit ribosomal RNA
Source: RNAcentral
UCUUGAGAGCGGCGGACGGGUGAGUAAUGCCUAGGAAUCUGCCUGGUAGUGGGGGAUAACGUCCGGAAACGGACGCUAAUACCGCAUACGUCCUACGGGAGAAAGCAGGGGACCUUCGGGCCUUGCGCUAUCAGAUGAGCCUAGGUCGGAUUAGCUAGUUGGUGGGGUAAUGGCUCACCAAGGCGACGAUCCGUAACUGGUCUGAGAGGAUGAUCAGUCACACUGGAACUGAGACACGGUCCAGACUCCUACGGGAGGCAGCAGUGGGGAAUAUUGGACAAUGGGCGAAAGCCUGAUCCAGCCAUGCCGCGUGUGUGAAGAAGGUCUUCGGAUUGUAAAGCACUUUAAGUUGGGAGGAAGGGCAGUAAAUUAAUACUUUGCUGUUUUGACGUUACCGACAGAAUAAGCACCGGCUAACUCUGUGCCAGCAGCCGCGGUAAUACAGAGGGUGCAAGCGUUAAUCGGAAUUACUGGGCGUAAAGCGCGCGUAGGUGGUUCGUUAAGUUGGAUGUGAAAUCCCCGGGCUCAACCUGGGAACUGCAUUCAAAACUGACGAGCUAGAGUAUGGUAGAGGGUGGUGGAAUUUCCUGUGUAGCGGUGAAAUGCGUAGAUAUAGGAAGGAACACCAGUGGCGAAGGCGACCACCUGGACUGAUACUGACACUGAGGU